This 453-nucleotide ribosomal RNA is filed under the name uncultured bacterium. RNAcentral's name for it is "partial 16S ribosomal RNA". It matches the Rfam family "Bacterial small subunit ribosomal RNA", at positions 28 to 506 of the family's 1533-position model. The record is from RNAcentral.
GAUGAACGCUGACAGAAUGCUUAACACAUGCAAGUCAACUUGAACUUCGGUUUGGGUGGCGGACGGGUGAGUAACGCGUAAAGAACUUGCCUCACAGAUAGGGACAACAUUUGGAAACGAAUGCUAAUACCUGAUAUUAUGAUUAUAUGGCAUCGUAUAAUUAUGAAAGCUAUAUGCGCUGUGAGAGAGCUUUGCGUCCCAUUAGCUAGUUGGAGAGGUAACGGCUCACCAAGGCGAUGAUGGGUAGCCGGCCUGAGAGGGUGAUCGGCCACAAGGGGACUGAGACACGGCCCUUAUUCCUACGGGAGGCAGCAGUGGGGAAUAUUGGACAAUGGACCAAGAGUCUGAUCCAGCAAUUCUGUGUGCACGAUGAAGUUUUUCGGAAUGUAAAGUGCUUUCAGUUGGGAAGAAAAAAAUGACGGUACCAACAGAAGAAGUGACGGCUAAAUACGU